RNAcentral lists this long non-coding RNA (283 nucleotides) under Sarcophilus harrisii (Tasmanian devil). Its description in RNAcentral is "lncRNA (ENSSHAG00000022990.1)". The record is from RNAcentral. Lineage: Eukaryota; Metazoa; Chordata; Mammalia; Dasyuromorphia; Dasyuridae.
AUCCAUGAAAACCUAAAGACACUGAAGAAUAUGUGUCCGGCCUAUCAAAUAUGUAAGGAGAAAGGAAAGACCUGAGAGGGAUUAGUUUCUUCCUCUCUAGUAGGAAAGAGGGAGAAAGAAAGGAUCAAGAGACAACUGGCUGUGUCCAUCUAAUUACCACCAUUUAUUUAGCCCUUUCCCACUCAUUGGAUUUUCAAUUUUUUGCUAUGAAAAAGAUUCUAGAAUUGACUAACAUGAAAUAAUAGGAUGCAUGUUCCAUCUUCUGAUCAUUGCACCAUACAAG